UACGAAGGGGGCUAGCGUUGUUCGGAAUUACUGGGCGUAAAGCGCGCGCAGGCGGCUAUCCAAGUCAGUGGUGAAAGCCCGGAGCUCAACUCCGGAACUGCCAUUGAAACUGUUUAGCUUGAGGAUGAGAGAGGUGAGUGGAAUUCCCAGUGUAGAGGUGAAAUUCGUAGAUAUUGGGAAGAACACCGGUGGCGAAGGCGGGUCUCUGGGCAGUAACUGACGCUGAGGAGCGAAAGCGUGGGUAGCGAACAGG
This 253-nucleotide ribosomal RNA is filed under the name uncultured bacterium. Its description in RNAcentral is "partial 16S ribosomal RNA". It matches the Rfam family "Bacterial small subunit ribosomal RNA", at positions 524 to 776 of the family's 1533-position model. The record is from RNAcentral.